AUUGAACGCUGGCGGCAUGCCUUACACAUGCAAGUCGAACGGCAGCGGGGGUAGCUUGCUACCUGCCGGCGAGUGGCGAACGGGUGAGUAAUACAUCGGAACGUGCCCUGUAGUGGGGGAUAACUAGUCGAAAGACUAGCUAAUACCGCAUACGACCUGGGGGUGAAAGUGGGGGACCGCAAGGCCGCCUGCUAUAGGAGCGGCCGAUGUCGGAUUAGCUAGUUGGUGGGGUAAAGGCCAACCAAGGCGACGGUCAGUAGCUGGUCUGAGAGGACGAUCAGCCACACUGGGACUGAGACACGGCCCAGACUCCUACGGGGGGCAGCAGUGGGGAAUUUUGGACAAUGGGGGCAACCCUGAUCCAGCAAUGCCGCGUGUGUGAAGAAGGCCUUCGGGUUGUAAAGCACUUUUGUCCGGAAAGAAAUCGCACUGGUUAAUACCUGGUGUGGAUGACGGUACCGGAAGAAUAAGGACCGGCUAACUACGUGCCAGCCGCCGCAGUAA
This 504-nucleotide ribosomal RNA is filed under the name uncultured bacterium. Its description in RNAcentral is "partial 16S ribosomal RNA". It matches the Rfam family "Bacterial small subunit ribosomal RNA", at positions 29 to 523 of the family's 1533-position model. The record is from RNAcentral.